RNAcentral lists this ribosomal RNA (262 nucleotides) under uncultured bacterium. RNAcentral describes it as "partial 16S ribosomal RNA". It matches the Rfam family "Bacterial small subunit ribosomal RNA", at positions 793 to 1055 of the family's 1533-position model. The record is from RNAcentral.
GUCCUAGCCGUAAACGUUGGAUGCUAGGUGUGGGGGACAUCGACCCCCUCCGUGCCGAAGCUAACGCAUUAAGCAUCCCGCCUGGGGAGUACGGCCGCAAGGCUAAAAACUCAAAGGAAUUGACGGGGGCCCGCACAAGCGGCGGAGCAUGUGGCUUAAUUCGAUGCGACGCGAAGAACCUUACCUGGGCUUGACAUGCGGGGUGAAAACCGUGGAAACACGGCGCUCUUCGGAGCCCGCACAGGUGGUGCAUGGCUGUCGU